UAGUCCACACCGUAAACGAUGAGCACUAGGUGUUGGGCUCGCAAGAGUUCGGUGCCGCAGUUAACGCAUUAAGUGCUCCGCCUGGGGAGUACGUACGCAAGUAUGAAACUCAAAGGAAUUGACGGGGACCCGCACAAGCAGCGGAGCAUGUGGUUUAAUUCGAAGCAACGCGAAGAACCUUACCAGGGCUUGACAUCCCUCUGACCGGCCUGAUAACGAUGGCCUUUCUUCGGACAGAGGUGAC
Molecule: ribosomal RNA, 244 nt
Filed under: uncultured bacterium
Lineage: Bacteria
Description: partial 16S ribosomal RNA
Rfam family: Bacterial small subunit ribosomal RNA
Source: RNAcentral